RNAcentral lists this unclassified non-coding RNA (351 nucleotides) under Hevea brasiliensis (rubber tree). Lineage: Eukaryota; Viridiplantae; Streptophyta; Magnoliopsida; Malpighiales; Euphorbiaceae. The record is from RNAcentral.
GGCAUUUCAUAAAUGAGGGCUAGAGGAGAAAAGAGUUCUUUGUGUAUCAGUCGGAUUUUCCAACCAUCUACAGUAUAGACAUGCUGCCCCAACUACAGAUACAAGGGAAAGCGUCGCUAGAAAUCCAAAAUGUGAGACAUCAUUUACAACUAUUGCAACUCCUAACAUUAUUGAUUCUGCUAAACUCGCAACCGAAACCUCGGUUGUUCCGAUAAGAUUGGCUUUAGAUGCAGGAAUUCCAGUUUGUAGAAUCUGUUGCCCGAUGACAUCAUAGGACAUGUGUCCCAGUCUUGACAACACAACUAAAGCCAAGAAAAAGAAAACGGGAGUUUGCUGAGAAAGACAUCCACU